GGAAAGAUUCGGUCGCCUUAGGUUGUGCCUGCGUAAGAUUAGCUUGUUGGUGGGGUAAUGGCUCACCANUGCGAUGAUCUAUAGCCGAGCUGAGAGGCUGGUCGGCCACAUUGGAACUGAGAUACGGUCCAGACUCCUACGGGAGGCAGCAGCUAAGAAUCUUCCGCAAUGGUCGAAAGACUGACGGAGCGACGCCGCGUGAAUGAUGAAGGCCUUACAGGUUGUAAAAUUCUUUUAAUAGGGACGAAUGUUUAACUUUAAGUUAAUCUGACGGUACCUUUUGAAUAAGAUCCGGCUAACUACGUGCCAGCAGCCGCGGUAAUACGUAGGGAUCGAGCGUUGUUCGGAAUUACUGGGCGUAAAGGGUACGCAGGCGGUUUGAUAAGUCAGAUGUGAAAUCUCGCGGGCUCAACCCCGAGGCUGCGUCUGAUACUGUCAGGCUAGGGUUACUGAGAGGAAGACGGAAUUUCUGGUGUAGGGGUGAAAUCUAUAGAUAUCAGAAAGAACACCGGUUGCGAAGUCGGUCUUCUAACAGUUAACCGACGCUGAGGUACGAAAGGCAGGGUAGCAAACAGGAUUAGAGACCCUGGUAGUCCUGCCUGUAAACGUUGUAUACUAGGUGGUGGGCGCAUUGAUCCGUUCACUGCCGCAGCUAACGCAUUAAGUAUACCGCCUGGGGAGUAUGCCGGCAACGGUGAAACUCAAAGGAAUUGACGGGGGCCCGCACAAGCAGUGGAGCAUGUUGUUUAAUUCGAUGAUACGCGAGAAACCUUACCAGGUCUUGACAUAUACAUGACGCUUAUAGAGAUAUAAGUUCUCUUCGGAGCAUGUAUACAGGUGCUGCAUGGUUGUCGUCAGCUCGUGCCGUGAGGUGUUGGGUUAAGUCCCGCAACGAGCGCAACCCCUAUUCUCUGUUGCUAACGGUUCGGCCGAGCACUCGGAGGAAACUGCCGGUGACAAACCGGAGGAAGGUGGGGAUGACGUCAAAUCAUCACGGCCCUUAUGACCUGGGCUACAAACGUGCUACAAUGGGCGGUACAAUGAGUUGCGAGAUUGCGAAAUUAAGCUAAUCUCAAAAAGCCGUCCUCAGUUCGGAUUGGAGUCUGAAACCCGACUCCAUGAAGCUGGAAUUGCUAGUAAUCGCACAUCA
This 1150-nucleotide ribosomal RNA is filed under the name uncultured organism. RNAcentral's name for it is "bacterial SSU rRNA". It matches the Rfam family "Bacterial small subunit ribosomal RNA", at positions 201 to 1351 of the family's 1533-position model. The record is from RNAcentral.